This is a long non-coding RNA of Neofelis nebulosa (Clouded leopard), 546 nucleotides long. RefSeq lists it as uncharacterized. Lineage: Eukaryota; Metazoa; Chordata; Mammalia; Carnivora; Felidae. The record is from RefSeq and is a predicted model, not a curated record. The transcript has 3 exons.
GCACCAUUUCCUGUUAAUGUAGGAAAGUUCUCUUUAGUUCUUCUGAUUUACCGGCAAAUAUUUUUGACCCCUGCUACAAGUCAGACCCAGGUUUUGGGCCUGGGGUCACAGUGAUAAACAAGACGAUGCAGCCUAAUUCUCCCCGGGUGCUAAGGAUUUGGGCUCUUGCUUCUUUCUCAGAGCAUCUCCUGCGAGUGAGCUGUCACUGAGAUGUUUGCAUCCUGCCUCCAUCCAGCAGGGUAGGGAGUGGACCCUUCACAGAAGCACACUGGGCAUGGAGGCACCUUGUGCCAAACCAGCCUCCAGGCCAUCUUCCAGAUGGGCUUUGUUGGGGCCCCCAGGGACCAGCAGCAACCUGCCUGUGAUUGACUAUUAGAAAACAAGACUGGCACCUAAAGGUCUGCCCAGGACCUGAGAUCAAGUGGCCCCAGUCUGUUUCAUCAUUGCUCUGCUUACAAAGGUGGGUUCCUACCAGCCGCUUUCAAGAACUCUCCCAGCACUGCGUCCACAGCUGCGCGGUGAGUUUCCUGUGCACUUGUAGCAGCU